UACGUAGGGACCAAGCGUUGUUCGGAUUUACUGGGCGUAAAGGGCGCGUAGGCGGCGCGGUAAGUCACUUGUGAAAUCUCUGAGCUUAACUCAGAACGGCCAAGUGAUACUGCAGUGCUAGAGUGUGGAAGGGGCAAUCGGAAUUCCUGGUGUAGCGGUGAAAUGCGCAGAUAUCAGGAGGAACACCGAUGGCGAAGGCAGGUCUCUGGGCCAUAACUGACGCUGAGAAGCGAAAGCAUGGGGAGCGAACAGG
RNAcentral lists this ribosomal RNA (253 nucleotides) under uncultured bacterium. RNAcentral describes it as "partial 16S ribosomal RNA". It matches the Rfam family "Bacterial small subunit ribosomal RNA", at positions 524 to 776 of the family's 1533-position model. The record is from RNAcentral.